AAAACCGAUCUGCUCGCUCCUUCUUGCUGCUGCAUCAGCGCUGUUGGAGCUUGCUCCCACGGGUCAAUCGUGCGAGGGAUUCUUCCACCUGUGAAUCUGCCUCAGGGAAACUUAUACUACGGGCAAACUCGCCCUUCACCGGAAAAACCCUACGGAGGAAAAUGAGCCAUCUUCUGACCUUGCGCUGAUGGAUGAACCCGCCUCGGAUUAGCUUGUUGGUGGGGUAAUGGCCCACGAUGAUCACCAUCCGUAACUGGUCUGACGGGAUGGACUCCUAACCGAGGCUGAGUGGGGAAUAUUGUCCUUGGGAGGCAGCCUGGGGGAAUCUGCCACGUGGUGAUGGCCUGAUCCAGGUUGGCCGCUCUUUCACCGGUGAACAUCAUGUUGGUAACCACUUAAGAAGCCCCGGAAAGCUUCGUGCCAACACCCGCGAUAAUACGAAGGGGGCUAGCGUUAUUCACAAUUACUGUUCGUGCCGCGCGCCUAGGCAGAUCGAUCAGUUAGAGCUUAAAUCCCAGUUCUCAGCCCCAGAACUGCCUCUAAUACUGCCGAUCUAGAGUUCGAGAAAGGUGAGUGGAAUCCUUGGUGUUGCGUUGAAUUUUGUAGAUAUUCAGAGGAACACAGGUGGGGUGAAGCUGCUCGGUGGCUCGAUACUGACGCUGAGGUGCGAAAGGAAUGCCGAUCAAACAGGGAUUACAUACUCUGGUUACUCUGACCCGUGAACUAUGGAAGCUUGGCGAUCGACGUUAUACUGUCGGUGGUGCUCUCACCAUUACGAUUCCUACUGGCGGAUACGUCUUAGAUAUUAUUCGACGCAACUACGGGAACCCUACCACGCCUUG
RNAcentral lists this ribosomal RNA (842 nucleotides) under Mesorhizobium sp. VKRKCd11. RNAcentral describes it as "bacterial SSU rRNA". It matches the Rfam family "Bacterial small subunit ribosomal RNA", at positions 58 to 934 of the family's 1533-position model. The record is from RNAcentral. Lineage: Bacteria; Pseudomonadati; Pseudomonadota; Alphaproteobacteria; Hyphomicrobiales; Phyllobacteriaceae.